RNAcentral lists this ribosomal RNA (253 nucleotides) under uncultured bacterium. RNAcentral's name for it is "partial 16S ribosomal RNA". It matches the Rfam family "Bacterial small subunit ribosomal RNA", at positions 524 to 776 of the family's 1533-position model. The record is from RNAcentral.
UACGGAGGGUGCAAGCGUUAUCCGGAUUCACUGGGUUUAAAGGGUGCGUAGGCGGGCAGGUAAGUCAGUGGUGAAAUCUCCAAGCUUAACUUGGAAACUGCCGUUGAUACUAUCUGUCUUGAAUACCGUGGAGGUGAGCGGAAUAUGUCAUGUAGCGGUGAAAUGCUUAGAUAUGACAUAGAACACCAAUUGCGAAGGCAGCUCACUACACGAAUAUUGACUCUGAGGCACGAAAGCGUGGGGAUCAAACAGG